RNAcentral lists this ribosomal RNA (253 nucleotides) under uncultured bacterium. Its description in RNAcentral is "partial 16S ribosomal RNA". It matches the Rfam family "Bacterial small subunit ribosomal RNA", at positions 524 to 776 of the family's 1533-position model. The record is from RNAcentral.
UACAGAGGUCUCAAGCGUUGUUCGGAUUCAUUGGGCGUAAAGGGUGCGUAGGCGGCGCGGUAAGUCGGGUGUGAAAUCUUGGAGCUUAACUCCGAAACUGCAUUCGAUACUGUCGGGCUAGAGUCCGGAAGAGGCGAGUGGAAUUCCUGGUGUAGCGGUGGAAUGCGCAGAUAUCAGGAGGAACACCAAUAGCGAAGGCAGCUCGCUGGGACGGUACUGACGCUAAGGCGCGAAAGCGUGGGGAGCGAACAGG